This 35-nucleotide ribosomal RNA is filed under the name uncultured Rickettsia sp. Its description in RNAcentral is "partial 23S ribosomal RNA". The record is from RNAcentral. Lineage: Bacteria; Pseudomonadati; Pseudomonadota; Alphaproteobacteria; Rickettsiales; Rickettsiaceae.
UACUAAUAGCUCGAUUGAUUUACUUUGCUGUGAGA